CAAUAGCGUAUAUUAAAGUUGUUGCAGUUAAAAGCUCGUAGUUGGAUUUCUGGGAGAGUGCCAAUGUCCGCCGAAGUGCGUGCGCAGCGGCGCUCUUUCAUCCUUCUGUUAACGGCUCUCGGCAUUCAUUUGCUGGUGUCGGGCUCAGAUAUUUUACCUUGAGAAAAUUAGAGUGUUUCAGGCAGGCUAGGCCGGAAUACAUUAGCAUGGAAUAAUGGAAUAGGACUUCAACCUCUUCUGUUGGUCUGAGGGGCUGUAGUAAUGAUUAAUAGGGAUAGUUGGGGGCAUUAGUACUUGACUGUCAGAGGUGAAAUUCUCCGAUUUGUUAAAGACUAACUUAUGCGAAAGCAUUUGCCAAGGAUGUUUUCAUUAAUCAAGAACGAAAGUUAGGGGAUCAAAGACGAUUAGAU
This 410-nucleotide ribosomal RNA is filed under the name uncultured eukaryote. Its description in RNAcentral is "SSU rRNA". It matches the Rfam family "Eukaryotic small subunit ribosomal RNA", at positions 592 to 1013 of the family's 1831-position model. The record is from RNAcentral.